AUGCGAGCGUUAUCCGGAUUUAUUGGGUUUAAAGGGUGCGUAGGCGGUCCGUUAAGUCAGCGGUAAAAUUGCGGGGCUCAACCCCGUCGAGCCGUUGAAACUGGCAGACUUGAGUUGGCGAGAAGUACGCGGAAUGCGCGGUGUAGCGGUGAAAUGCAUAGAUAUCGCGCAGAACUCCGAUUGCGAAGGCAGCGUACCGGCGCCAGACUGACGCUGAGGCACGAAAGCGUGGGGAUCGAACA
RNAcentral lists this ribosomal RNA (242 nucleotides) under uncultured bacterium. RNAcentral's name for it is "partial 16S ribosomal RNA". It matches the Rfam family "Bacterial small subunit ribosomal RNA", at positions 532 to 774 of the family's 1533-position model. The record is from RNAcentral.